GCUACGCCUGUCUGAGGGUCGCU
RNAcentral lists this non-coding RNA (23 nucleotides) under Xenopus tropicalis (tropical clawed frog). RNAcentral also lists the same sequence under 3 other names. Lineage: Eukaryota; Metazoa; Chordata; Amphibia; Anura; Pipidae. The record is from RNAcentral.